Long non-coding RNA from Phascolarctos cinereus (koala), 1013 nucleotides. RefSeq lists it as uncharacterized. The record is from RefSeq and is a predicted model, not a curated record. Lineage: Eukaryota; Metazoa; Chordata; Mammalia; Diprotodontia; Phascolarctidae.
CUUUCCAGUUUUCUUACGUCUAACACUCCACCACAUUCUCUGUGACCCAGUGACACCAAUCACCUUACUGUUUCUCAAACAAAACACCCCAUUUCCUGACUCCAUGUAUAUUCACUAGCUGUCACGCACACAUGUAAUGUUCUCAUUCUCCAUCUCCACUCCUGGCUUCCUUCAAGUCUCAGUUAAAAUCCCAGCUUCUAUGAAAUGGAGUGCAAAAGAACAUUGUAUAUUCUGUAAGAAUCUCUCUCUUCCUUGAAGUUGCAGUUCAAGCACCACCAUCUACAUUAAUGCUUUCCUGAUCUCCCUAAAUUGGAAUCUACCCGUUCCAAGCCCUUCACUGAUUCUGACUCUGGAAUCCAGCCACAAUCAAAAUAAAGAUUUCAAAAACAAAACUGAAAUCGGGAUCACUUCAAAUCACCAAGCUGAACCUGGUGUAGUUAAGAAGCCUAUACAAGUAAAUAUUAGUUUUCCCUAUCCUGGGGCCAACUCAGUAGACCACUGAUUUCAUUUAUGCUUUUUUUUCCUCCAGUCCUGCUUUCACUUUCCUUACCUUUUAUACAAUUUUACAAUGAUAACUCAGGUUUCUAUAUAUCUGUGAUGUUUGCCAAGUAUCUUCCUCAUAAGAAUCCUGUGAGAUCAGGAGCAUGAAUAUUAUGGUGUCCACAUUACAGAUGAGGAAACUGAGGCUAUACUAAAAUUCCUUGCUCAUGCCCAAACUCUUGGUAAAUAUCUGAGACAGGAUUCAGAUUCACCUCUCCUGUCUCCAGGUCUUUCCAAUUAUGUCAUGUUCUUUUCUUGUUGGCUUCAAGGAAGUGUAGAGAAAAACAAGGUCAGGGCUCAAGGACUUGAUUUAGUGACUCAUUGGCACCUCUAGUAAAAGUUUUGUGGAGCAAGAUGGAAAGUGAAAGGAAAUGAUUCAAAAGAAGUUUGGUAUUAAUUCAGGAAUUUUAUUUACCUAUGCUAUCCCAGCAUUCGAGUAGCAGAGGUAGUCAAAUAUGUAUUCAUUCAUUCAA